RNAcentral lists this transfer RNA (64 nucleotides) under Panesthia angustipennis cognata. RNAcentral describes it as "tRNA-Ile". Lineage: Eukaryota; Metazoa; Arthropoda; Insecta; Blattodea; Blaberidae. The record is from RNAcentral.
AGUGAAGUGCCUGAAAAAGGAUUAUCGUGAUAGGAUAAAUCAUGUAAUUUAUUUACCUCCACUA